AAAAAAAAGCUUCGCUUUUAAAACAAAGCUUGACGUUGCAGAGUCGACAGACGUCCACAAAUUUGCGAAUGCAGUUUGUGAACAAGAAGCCAGCUGUGGUAUACAACUUGAUGACGGUCUGAAGCAAACUUAUUCUGUUGGUGUAUGAGUGAAUACCACUCACACACCGUGAAAUUUGAACUUGCUUUACCACUGGACAAGAACAGCUUCAGCACGGACGUGAUGUUGCAGCAAUGCACAUUUGCCAUUCAACAUUUCUCGCUAUUGCAGUUGCUGCUGUUAUGAUUUAAAUACCAGAAUCUCAUCACCUUCUCCAAGUUUGAAAUUCUGUGCUGUAUAUUUGAUUUUGUAAGAGAGGUGACCCACUGUCAUGUUCUGCUGGUGAGCACAAGGUCACAGAUUUGAAUCUCAGCUGCUGUGGUCAUAUUUUAAUGGGAAUGGAAUGCAAGAGUGCUCAUGCGUCAAGCAUACUGAUUUUGUACAAACGUACCGAGUCAUUAAGUGCUACGCGUAAAGCCUGUAAUUUAUUAAACGUUUUUAAAAAUGUACAUCGCUGCCGAUCGCACUACACCGCUCAGUGGGAUUUUCAGCCGCCCCUACCCAUAUGAGUUAAAUCACCCAAUUGACGUCAGUAGGGCGAGCUAUCCAAUUGACUGCCCGGGGCGCAUCAUUGAUAAUUUUUCCACCUUUAUGGUGAACAAAUGAUGUUCGUAAUAGUUGGAAUGUUAGUUAAUUUGCUUCUAUAGAAAGGAAGUAGCAGAAAGAGAAUGCACAAGAACAAUUUCACUACACUUAAGCACCUCCGGCACACAGCAAGCGUCGUCUGCUUGUGUUACAACAUGCUCCAUUUUGACGAGAGCUCCGUGGUCAGAGUCGGUCUGUCUUUUCGCGAGCACUAUAAUUCGAAUUUGUUGCAUUGUGGACUGCAAACAUAGCGACUGGCAAUAUGUCAAGCUGAGGCAUGUCCCUCUGCAAGGCAGCAGACGAGCGAACUGGCUGCAGCACCAGGAUUUGCGUGUUUACGGCCGUCACUUCACACUGGAAGAUUACUAACGCAAUAGCGUUUCGCGAGUCCGGUAUUAGGGUAAAUGCAAGCGCAAGGGAACAGGGCCUGGCGGUUUGACCGCGUCGUUCACGGGAUGAGCAGAAGCGCAGAUGUGAAUGGUCUGCACGAUGCAGCCACCUGGUGGCACAGAGCUCAAUCGCACACAGUAGCAGCAACGAAAUGUAUUCUUUGCUGCUGGCGUAAAUUUUUCGCAGAAGUGUAAUCAUUAACACAUUGUUUUUGUAAAUGUUUAAGAUGUUUUACACUUGGUUAGAGCGAUAUUAGCUCUUUGUUUGGCUGGUUAAGCUCUGCGCCAAUGGGUGGCUGGACCGUGGAUACCGAUCAGGUACGUCUACGCUAAAGUUCCUUCAUCAGUUUGAGUUUAUGCCUCCACCGUUCCGUCGAAAUUCGCAGCUCGCUUGUGGUUACCGGAAUACCAGACACGUUCGGCGCUGCGACAGAAUGCUCGCAACGCACGCUCUCGCUUGGGGUCAACUGCCAAGCAGCUGGCGGAGAGUUUGGAGAGGCUUCGUGCACUCGCUCCUAGAGAACCAGAAGUCAACACGACGUGCCAUCAUGAUGCAGAGCCAGUGAAGGCGGAGCUUAGCCCCGAUCACUCGGCGAACGAGUUGAGUAGAAAAUACAUGACCGUGGAGGAGGGUAACUUGUAAUCGUCUGUAGCUCUCUUAAUAUGAGAUGCAUCACACAAAUUGUGGCGCGAAUGAUUAACUUUGCCUCUACCCUACGCGUCUACAAAAUUUGUCCAAACCAUUUCAGGGGCCCUUUAAAGAAUAGCAGUUGGUCAAAAUUCAUUCAGAGCCUUACACUUUGCUUCAGCAAACAUUUGCAUCCACUUUUUCUCGGUGUUUGACCACCUUGUUUUCGAGUUGCAGAUGGCAUCUUUUACCCUUCUGUUGGUUUCUUGAACUCAAGCAUGGUGCUAAACAAAAAUGGGUCUUAACGCGCACUCUGCUUGGACAUAGCAUCACAAGCUGUCGCUACUGGCACUGUUACUGCCGUCCAGGUCUACAAUUGCCUGGUGUUCCAUGAAGGGAAAUCCACGACUGUUCAGCUACCACUCAAGUUGGACCGGGUACUUCCCAGUGAGGCAUGCUGUGCAGUGGCCGACCUCCUUGUUGCCACCGUUGGG
Non-coding RNA from Dermacentor andersoni, 2195 nucleotides. The record is from RefSeq and is a predicted model, not a curated record. Lineage: Eukaryota; Metazoa; Arthropoda; Arachnida; Ixodida; Ixodidae.